RNAcentral lists this long non-coding RNA (1161 nucleotides) under Anser brachyrhynchus (Pink-footed goose). RNAcentral's name for it is "lncRNA (ENSABRG00000004755.1)". The record is from RNAcentral. Lineage: Eukaryota; Metazoa; Chordata; Aves; Anseriformes; Anatidae.
GAGGAUCCAAAGCGAGAACGUUGGCAAAAAAUAAAAAUAAUAAGGAUUCCUCUCCCCCGCGCUAAUUGCGAUGCAGAGGGGGGGUGUUGCGGUAGGGAUCCUGCUCGGGAUCCUGCCGCGGUGUAACGCUGCCCUCUGAGCUGCGGGAGGGGGGCGGCCUGGCCUGCCUGCCUGCCCCGAAAUCCCGUCGGCGGAGAUGGCAGAAAAGCGUUUUAAUGGCAAUCGAAAAGCGCUUUAAUGGCAGUCCAUGGAGGAUCGCAAGGUCCGGGGAGGAAAUGUUGAUUAAAAGGUGUUGAUUAAAAAUGCUCUGUGUGUGGGUCGGUUCUUUUAUUUAUUUAUUUAUUUAUCCACGUCCGCGACUUGCUUAAAUACAAGUAAACAGCCCGAGCGAGCAGAAAGGCAGCUUUCCCAGCCGCCCCGGUGCGUGCUGGAGGCAGGCCGUCAGGAGUUUGUGCAACGCUUCGAGCGGCAGCGCGCAGAUUUAAAGCAGCGUGCUCCGAAGGGUUACUGCUUACACUGCUUACACUGCUUAUUGGGGCACCAUUAAACCAGCCCCGAACAGGCCAAUGUGCUUUUUCUCCCCCUCCUUCCCCGUUUCCUCCCUGCUGCCGAGCCGCAGGGAUUCGCGAUUCCCGACGCGCAAGGCCAAGCCCUCUGUUUCGUUGCAGUCACAGGUUUUUGUGGCAAAACUUUCCAAGCACGUUUUCACUCUUUAGGAAAUACCGAGCUGGAGGGUUCCGUAUACAUUGCCUGACUCCGUGUGAAAAAGAAGGAGUUACAAUUGUGUUGAAGAACAUUUUUGUUGUUGUUGUUCAGAAGGAGAAAACAAAGAGUUCAGCCUGAGACCGAGAAAUUGCUUCAUAAGAAAACCAUCUGUGUUGAGAGAGAUGGACUAAGCAGCUGGAUCCCUGCCAUACUGUCUGGGGGAAUAUGGUUGUUCUGGACAAGAGGAACAAUGGGAGCAGAAUGGCUGAUAUAUGUGUGCACACAGGUAGGUGCGCGCACACGCACACACACACUAGCAAAAACAUGUGUGUUGUUUAGCAUACAUUUUAUACUGAAUAUACAGAUGUAUAUAGUACUAUGCAUUAGUAACAUAUGUGUGUACACAUGAAUGUAUUUGUGUACAUAUACACAUACAUGUAUGACUGAACUCUGUGA